Molecule: non-coding RNA, 21 nt
Organism: Caenorhabditis elegans
Lineage: Eukaryota; Metazoa; Nematoda; Chromadorea; Rhabditida; Rhabditidae
Source: Ensembl
UUCAACGUAUGAAAAAUCUGA